AAGCCCUUACCAUUUGGUCUGA
Molecule: microRNA, 22 nt
Filed under: Sarcophilus harrisii (Tasmanian devil)
Lineage: Eukaryota; Metazoa; Chordata; Mammalia; Dasyuromorphia; Dasyuridae
Description: Sha-Mir-7373-o4_5p (mature (guide))
Source: RNAcentral